GACGAACGCUGGCGGCGUGCCUAACACAUGCAAGUCGAGCGAGGUUGUCUCUUCGGAGAUAACCUAGCGGCGGACGGGUGAGUAACACGUGGGCAACCUGCCUCGAAGAGGGGGAUAGCCUCCCGAAAGGGAGAUUAAUACCGCAUAAUAUCAGUAUAUCGCAUGAUAUAUUGAUUAAAGGAGAAAUCCGCUUCGAGAUGGGCCCGCGGCGCAUUAGCUAGUUGGUGAGGUAACGGCUCACCAAGGCGACGAUGCGUAGCCGACCUGAGAGGGUGAUCGGCCACAUUGGGACUGAGACACGGCCCAGACUCCUACGGGAGGCAG
This 324-nucleotide ribosomal RNA is filed under the name uncultured Bacillota bacterium. RNAcentral's name for it is "bacterial SSU rRNA". It matches the Rfam family "Bacterial small subunit ribosomal RNA", at positions 28 to 351 of the family's 1533-position model. Lineage: Bacteria; Bacillati; Bacillota. The record is from RNAcentral.